RNAcentral lists this unclassified non-coding RNA (228 nucleotides) under Hevea brasiliensis (rubber tree). The record is from RNAcentral. Lineage: Eukaryota; Viridiplantae; Streptophyta; Magnoliopsida; Malpighiales; Euphorbiaceae.
AUUGUAAAUGGUAAAUGUUACCAACGGUGGAUAUUGAUAUAUUGUACUGUAGAAGUGUAAAAUCGUCUAAUAGAGGAAAUCAUGUCUUUGUACAUCUUUUAUUCAGUCAGUUUGCAUAAGUAAAGAUCCUAGUGAUUAUCUGUCUUUUUAUGGAGAUAUGGGUAGCAUAUAUAUUGUUUCCAGAUAUAGUUUCCUUUAGUAUUUGUUGUCUUACAUCCAUGUUUUUGU